CAAUAGCGUAUAUUAAAGUUGUUGCGGUUAAAAAGCUCGUAGUUGGAUUUCUGCUGAGGAUGACCGGUCCGCCCUGUGGGUGUGCAUCUGGCUCAGCCUUGGCAUCUUCCUGAAGAACGUAGCUGCACUUGACUGUGUGGUGCGGUAUUUAGGACAUUUACUUUGAGGAAAUUAGAGUGUUUCAAGCAAGCGCACGCUUUGAAUACAUUAGCAUGGAAUAAUAAGAUAGGACCUUGGUUCUAUUUUGUUGGUUUCUAGAGCUGAGGUAAUGAUUGAUAGGGAUAGUUGGGGGCAUUCGUAUUUAACUGUCAGGGGUGAAAUUCUUGGAUUUGUUAAAGACGGACUACUGCGAAAGCAUUUGCCAAGGAUGUUUUCAUUGA
This 380-nucleotide ribosomal RNA is filed under the name uncultured eukaryote. Its description in RNAcentral is "partial 18S ribosomal RNA". It matches the Rfam family "Eukaryotic small subunit ribosomal RNA", at positions 592 to 976 of the family's 1831-position model. The record is from RNAcentral.